Molecule: ribosomal RNA, 253 nt
Filed under: uncultured bacterium
Lineage: Bacteria
Description: partial 16S ribosomal RNA
Rfam family: Bacterial small subunit ribosomal RNA
Source: RNAcentral
UACGUAGGUGGCGAGCGUUGUCCGGAUUUACUGGGCGUAAAGAGCGCGCAGGCGGUCGUACAAGUCGCGUGUGAAAGCCCCCGGCUCAACUGGGGAGGGUCACGCGAUACUGUUCGACUCGAAGGCAGGAGAGGGAAGCGGAAUUCCCGGUGUAGUGGUGAAAUGCGUAGAUAUCGGGAGGAACACCAGUGGCGAAGGCGGCUUCCUGGCCUGUUCUUGACGCUGAGGCGCGAAAGCUAGGGUAGCAAACAGG